UACGGGGGGGGCAAGCGUUGUUCGGAAUUACUGGGCGUAAAGGGCGCGUAGGCGGCCUUCUAAGUCAGACGUGAAAUCCCUCGGCUCAACCGAGGAACUGCGUCUGAUACUGGAAGGCUUGAAUCCGGGAGAGGGAUGUGGAAUUCCAGGUGUAGCGGUGAAAUGCGUAGAUAUCUGGAGGAACACCGGUGGCGAAGGCGGCAUCCUGGACCAACACUGACACUGAGGAGCGAAAGCCAGGGGAGCAAACGGG
RNAcentral lists this ribosomal RNA (253 nucleotides) under uncultured bacterium. Its description in RNAcentral is "partial 16S ribosomal RNA". It matches the Rfam family "Bacterial small subunit ribosomal RNA", at positions 524 to 776 of the family's 1533-position model. The record is from RNAcentral.